RNAcentral lists this ribosomal RNA (286 nucleotides) under Streptomyces scabiei. RNAcentral describes it as "partial 16S ribosomal RNA". It matches the Rfam family "Bacterial small subunit ribosomal RNA", at positions 225 to 523 of the family's 1533-position model. The record is from RNAcentral. Lineage: Bacteria; Bacillati; Actinomycetota; Actinomycetes; Kitasatosporales; Streptomycetaceae.
AUGAGCCCGCGGCCUAUCAGCUUGUUGGUGAGGUAACGGCUCACCAAGGCGACGACGGGUAGCCGGCCUGAGAGGGCGACCGGCCACACUGGGACUGAGACACGGCCCAGACUCCUACGGGAGGCAGCAGUGGGGAAUAUUGCACAAUGGGCGAAAGCCUGAUGCAGCGACGCCGCGUGAGGGAUGACGGCCUUCGGGUUGUAAACCUCUUUCAGCAGGGAAGAAGCGAAAGUGACGGUACCUGCAGAAGAAGCGCCGGCUAACUACGUGCCAGCAGCCGCGGUAA